Molecule: long non-coding RNA, 694 nt
Organism: Nothoprocta perdicaria
Lineage: Eukaryota; Metazoa; Chordata; Aves; Tinamiformes; Tinamidae
Exons: 4
Source: RefSeq, a predicted model, not a curated record
CCACUUCAUCACCCACAAAGCUUGCAACGAAACCUAAAGACUUGGCCUUCCGAUGCUGAACGUUCCCUAUUUACCUACCAGCCUCAGCAAGAGAUGUCUCCUAAUGGCUUAUUUUUACUGUAAUACCUCUAUUAUUUAUAAAUUCGGAUGGUGCAACCUAAAAUUCUUUCAUGUCAUAGUUACACAUUAGCGUGACAGAAGGCCUCACCCUUCUUCUAAUUCAGUGAGAUUACACAUUACAAAAGAGUCAUUUCUGUGUUCCGAAGAACAGUUCCCAGUUCCCAGUCCUGUAACCACACAGUAAAACAAAGCAAGAAGCCAGCAAAGUAAGAGGGAGAAAUAGAGACGUCCAGACAAGGCCUGUGCAGCCCCACAGCUCUUCUGAAGACCUGAAAAUAUGAAAACAUUUCCACGCCACGCUGACAGUUCAUUCCAUGUCCGCCCAGCUGAGGGUUUAUGUAGCUGCAAGAGCCGUCUGACUUUAUGAGCAAAAUUAAUCACUGAUAUAUGUGAAAAACAACAUUGAAAUUCAAAUUUUGUCACUUAUGCUCAGAUCUAGGUUACCUAAAUAUGUUUGAACUACAAAUUCUGUGGCAUAAGUAGGUUGGGAAUCCAUUCAGGUCCAAUGACAAAAGGGUUCAGAUCUAGGAAUAAGCACGCUGACUGUUAUUGAACGAGGUUUCUACUUUUUUUU